Oncorhynchus kisutch (coho salmon) is the source of this 2053-nucleotide long non-coding RNA. RefSeq lists it as uncharacterized. NCBI's taxonomy places the organism in Eukaryota, Metazoa, Chordata, Actinopteri, Salmoniformes, Salmonidae. The transcript has 4 exons. The record is from RefSeq and is a predicted model, not a curated record.
GUCACUACUUUGGCUAUAUUGCACAAAUUUAUAAAAACAAACUUUUUGGGGGAUAGGCAUAAGGUUAGCAAUGUGGUUAGGUUUAAAAUCAAAUUUUAGGAAGAUAAAUUGUAGAAUAGGUGGGGCUAACUAUUUAAAAAAUAUAUAUAUUUAACCUUUAUUUACUGGUUUAGACAUACUUAUGACAGAUUGGUGGAGUGAAUGCAGCUCUAACGUUAGCCAUGGAGAACUGCAAAUGUGUUGCUACUGCUCUCAAUAACAUAGCUGACCUGAAUUGAUCAGGCGCCAUCGAAGCAUCAUUACAACACGCCUGACUCUCCUCCACUAGUCACACAAGGAGAAUGGUCUAAUGCCUCCCAUCAAAAAGAGAGCUGGACCAAGCACAGGUUACGCCUGAAGCAUGAGGACUUCCAGUGAGUGGUGAACUUCAUCAACAACAACGCAGAGGGUAAUGCAAUAGUAUUGCCAGGAUGCCACCCAGGACACAAACACUUUCGUGGAAAGCUGCUGCCAUCCCAUGUGACAAAAGCAGCAGUGUGGCGUCUCUACAAGGAAUCGAUGACAACACUUGAAACAGUCAGGACCUUCACUUCCUGAUCACAGGCCACACCAAGUUUGCCCCCGACUGGUGCUUCGGCCUCAUCAAGCAGCGCUUCAGAAAGACCAGUGAAUGAACACUUUGUCUGAGAUUGCUGGUGUUGUGAAUGACAGCGCUGACAGGGUCAACAUCCCACAGCUGGUUGGACUUGAGGGUGACACUGCGAUGGUGGAAAUCUAUGGCUGGCAACAAUGCCUGACUCCGUACUUCAGGCUACUGCCACAGAUCAAGCAGUACCAGCACUUAAAUAAUUUUCAUUGCAUUUUUUACAGCUUCGAUGCUCUGGAGACUGGUGUUGUUGGCGCCAAGGAGCGUUCGGACUGUCUGGACUAGGUUUCAGCUGCUGCGCAACACCUUCCUCCCAUAGAUGGUCUGCCUGUACAAGCACCACCUGGACUGGACACAGCUAGACAAACUUAUAUUUUUUAGGGACUUUUGCGACAGAGGCUAUGGACAUCAUAUGCCCUGCACCAAAGUCAAGGGCAGGACAGAAACAGGCUCUUCUAAUAUAGAUUCCCUUGUUCAUGCGUGGUUUGGACGGACCAGUCAUCAGCACUAUCUGCAGUGCCUCUAUUCAAAUGACUCUCGCCACACACGCCAUACGUUGCUGCUAUACCAUAUGUUUUAUCCUGCUGCUCAGCCACUUUACCCAUGAUGGUAUGCAUAUAACUACCUCAUCUAUCACUGAUAUCGUUAUUGAUAUUGUUCUUGUACAUAUUUUAUAUUAUUUUAUUUAUAUUGACACUAUCUAUCUCUGAUAUUGCUACUAUGCAAGUAACUAUGUGGCUGUACCUUUUCCACCUUCUGUAGAGACCAUCCACUUAGCAAGACUUAGAAAAAUAUUGAUAUAUAAAAUUCAUUUUGAUAUGUGUGGUCAUAACAUGAUUUUGUGACAUACCACAACAAUAUCAUGUGACUGUAUCAAGUGUCCACCUCAUAAAUAUAUGGCGCAUGCAUCUGUUUAUAUACUGUUCAUGUGCACCUCGCUCAGGUUUCAACUCCGGUUGCAUGGCCUUAACUUAUGUAUGUAAUACUGUGAUAGGUGCGUGUGUAACAGUAUAUAAAGUAUGCCAAUGUAUUGGUGUGAAGGCAGUGGUGUAAAAAUACUUUAAAGUACUAAAGUCUUUUUGGGGGUAUCUGUACAUUACUUCACUAUUUAUAUUUUUGGGAACUUUAACUUCACUACAUUCCGAAAGAAAAUAAUGUAUAUUUUACUCCAAACAUUUUCCCUGACACCCAAAAGUACUUGUUACAUUUUGACAGGAAAAUUGUCCAAUUCACACACUUAUCAAGAGAACAUCCCUGGUCAUCUCUACUGCUUCUGAUUUGGCAGACUCACUAAACACAAAUGUUUCAUUUAUAAAUUAUGUCUGAGUGUUGGAGUGUGCCCCUGGCUAUUUGUUUUACCUUUAUUGGGUAAAAUAAAAAAAUUGAGCCGUCUGGUUUAAUACAAGG